This 427-nucleotide ribosomal RNA is filed under the name uncultured beta proteobacterium. RNAcentral describes it as "bacterial SSU rRNA". It matches the Rfam family "Bacterial small subunit ribosomal RNA", at positions 355 to 774 of the family's 1533-position model. The record is from RNAcentral. Lineage: Bacteria; Pseudomonadati; Pseudomonadota; Betaproteobacteria.
UGGGGAAUUUUGGACAAUGGGCGAAAGCCUGAUCCAGCCAUGCCGCGUGAGUGAAGAAGGCCUUCGGGUUGUAAAGCUCUUUUAGUCGGAAAGAAAGAGUUGCAAUGAAUAAUUGUGAUUUAUGACGGUACCGACAGAAAAAGCACCGGCUAACUACGUGCCAGCAGCCGCGGUGAUACGUAGGGUGCGAGCGUUAAUCGGAAUUACUGGGCGUAAAGGGUGCGCAGGCGGUCUUGCAAGUCAGAUGUGAAAGCCCCGGGCUUAACCUGGGAAUUGCGUUUGAAACUACAAGGCUAGGGUGCAGCAGAGGGGAGUGGAAUUCCAUGUGUAGCAGUGAAAUGCGUAGAGAUGUGGAAGAACACCGAUGGCGAAGGCAGCUCCCUGGGUUGACACUGACGCUCAUGCACGAAAGCGUGGGGAGCAAACA